AUGCAUUGGAUGCUCGGCUCACUCACAAGGAAGGUGUUGUCACCAUGUGCAUAUUGGAGUCAAGCUAGGAUGAUCAAUGAACUACUAUCUACCUUCAAUUGGUAUCUACUACAUCCUUCCAAUGAUAUCUCGGUAACAAGUAUCUAUUCAUGCCUUCCCUUCUUGCACUCAACCUUGUGUAGGUUGUAUCUUGGCAUGAUAUUCAUCUCAUAUCUUGUGAUACUUGUUUUCUUUCUCAAAGCAUCACAACGAUGUUCUCUUGUUGCUAGUUGUGAUGCCUUUGAUGGGUGUGCGGUAGGACUUCAUUUAUAUACAAUAAGACCAUAUCUAGCCAAGUGCUAUGCUUUCAAGCAAAUAUCUUAUUGGUAUAUUUAUGACUUCCUUGUGGGUAUCUUGUUCCUUCGUUCUGUAACUAUUUCGGGUGUACAUCCUUCUUUGUAUAUAUAUAUAUAUCAUCAUGAUUUCGUCUACCUAGAACCCUAUACACUUGAGAGAACUUACAUCUCUAGUUGA
Molecule: ribosomal RNA, 513 nt
Filed under: Triticum aestivum (bread wheat)
Lineage: Eukaryota; Viridiplantae; Streptophyta; Magnoliopsida; Poales; Poaceae
Description: partial small subunit ribosomal RNA
Source: RNAcentral